RNAcentral lists this ribosomal RNA (429 nucleotides) under Pseudomonadota bacterium. RNAcentral describes it as "Proteobacteria bacterium partial 16S ribosomal RNA". It matches the Rfam family "Bacterial small subunit ribosomal RNA", at positions 355 to 776 of the family's 1533-position model. Lineage: Bacteria; Pseudomonadati; Pseudomonadota. The record is from RNAcentral.
UGGGGAAUAUUGGACAAUGGGCGAAAGCCUGAUCCAGCCAUGCCGCGUGUGUGAAGAAGGUCUUCGGAUUGUAAAGCACUUUAAGUUGGGAGGAAGGGCAGUAAGCGAAUACCUUGCUGUUUUGACGUUACCGACAGAAUAAGCACCGGCUAACUCUGUGCCAGCAGCCGCGGUAAUACAGAGGGUGCAAGCGUUAAUCGGAAUUACUGGGCGUAAAGCGCGCGUAGGUGGUUCGUUAAGUUGAAUGUGAAAGCCCCGGGCUCAACCUGGGAACUGCAUCCCAAACUGGCGAGCUAGAGUAGGGAAGAGGGUGGUGGAAUUUCCUGUGUAGCGGUGAAAUGCGUAGAUAUAGGAAGGAACACCAGUGGCGAAGGCGACCACCUGGGCUCAUACUGACACUGAGGUGCGAAAGCGUGGGGAGCAAACAGG